CAUGAAAUGUGGGAAUCAUAUUUCCAUGGGAAUACAACUUUUCUAUCUCUCUCUUUUGAAAACUCCAAUCAAACAAGAGGCAUAUCAUUACUUUCCUAUUGACCACACUUUCCCUCCUUAUAUUCUUGCAAACCAAACGAGCCCUGAGAACCAUGUGCUCGUCCUUGACCCAUUCGGAAAAGUCGGGCCACCUUUAACCCACCCUACAGGUACAUCUAAAUCUUUCGACCUAUCUUAUCUUGUGCGAUGUAGAGUUAGACUGGAUGGGUUGAUUCUAGUAAAAUUGCAAAAAAAUUUCGAGAUAUAUCAAAUAAAUAGAAUAAUAAAAUAUUAAAUUUUAGAAUUUAACAAAAAUUUUAAGAUACAGACCAUAGCAAACCAAAUAUUCAACAAUAAUACAAACAACAAAUAAAGUAUUAUUAUUUAUAAAAUCAAAAAAUACCUUGAACUAAGAAAAUCAAAUGGCUGUGUCAUUAGCCACCUUCGCUCCCAAACCACUGCAGGUUUGGUUUUUUAUAUGCAUCCAUGUCUCUCCGGCUCUAAAUGGGUCAAUAAAAUCUGCCUUAUUAGAAUCAUAUAGGAUCAAGUAUCCAACUGGGUAGUAUAAAUUGCCACCCCUUCAUCACUCGCAAGGCCAUUUAUCCUUGUAGAGAAAGGCAUGGAGCUCCACCGAGGGAACACAGAGAGCUAUGUUCCAAACAAAAACUCAAGAGCCUUGUUUGAGCUAGUCUCGAAAUGCCGCUUACCAAGGCUAGUUCAAAUGUUGCUCUACGGCGUCAUAUGUGCAGUAUGUAAUUCAAGGACCAAAAUGUAGUUCAAACUAGAACUUCUAGCUAAUUUUGUUUAAGUUUCAUCCCAUCUGCUGAGAUUAGUUCAAAUGUUUCUCUCUUUCAACUAAUCGCAUCGCUUAAUAUUAAGAGGAACCAAGCACCCCUUCCUUGUUUUGACUGAACUUGAACACGCUACCAUUAGUAUUUAAUUUUUAGUCCUACACAUAUUUAUAUGAGAUUUACACAUGCCUGCAUUUAUAUUGCACACACAAAUAAUAACUCUUGUAUACAAUUAUAUUGCCCAUGCAUACAGUUAUACUAUCCCUGUAUACACUUGUACAUGCGUGCGCAGAGUUAUCUAUAACUGUGUAUAUAUUGGGAUAUAAUUAUAUACAAUUGCUAGGGACUUAAAACUAAAGAAAAUUUGAAACUUGAGAUGGAUGUUAAAGUCCCCGACAGCAGGUAUUAAAAGUUGCAGUCCGGUCAAAGGUGAGACUCAAAAUAUGAAUUAAGAAGUCUUAAAGUGUAAAGUGUUAGGAAAGACCCCUUCACUAGAUGAAAAGUUUCCUAUCUUUGUGUGAGUAGAAUGAGAAUACCACAAUAAUUAAUCAAUGUAAGAACCACCAAAAAAACAAACCACAAGAAAGAGACAAGAAUUUUUAGGUGGAAAAACCUCCAAUAUGAGGGGAAAAAACCACCGGACCUAAGUCCACCACAAACCUCCACUAUCAACAAUAAUGGGCUUACAAAGUAUCUUCUCUAGGCUAAGCUAGAGGAUCACAUACAUCAAGGAUCUCUUCCUUGGAUCACAAACAAAGA
This is a non-coding RNA of Phoenix dactylifera (date palm), 1589 nucleotides long. Lineage: Eukaryota; Viridiplantae; Streptophyta; Magnoliopsida; Arecales; Arecaceae. The record is from RefSeq and is a predicted model, not a curated record.